CUGGGAACGUUAAAGGGAAACCUGGCCGAGUCUCGGUGUUGGAGGAAUCUUGCGAUUUGUACCACGGUAUAUGCAAACUCCGCGCUCCCUCGCCCACGGUAUUAUUUUGGGAUUUGACUAAUCCCGUGAGAGGGCAUGGACCAGCGCGUGUGAUGAUCAGCGUCUCGUUUUUCGCCCCGUUCGAUUCACCGGCACGGCCAAGUGUCAAGCUCGUCUUCGCUCGAUAAACGAUGCCGUCCCAAAUAAACUUGUGGGCUUGGCCAUUUUCACUUGUGCUGCGAUAAGCAUCCGAUAUGGUUGAAUGGAAAAAAAUGUUGGAAGAAUCUUCCUUUCCUUCGAUCGGACGCAGGUGUUUCAGGAUUGCCAGCUAUUAUCUUCUCGGUUUGACUCAUCGCUACCUGAGAUAACGCCGAUCAUAGGUCACAGAUAACAUGGAUGCUCGCACCAUAGAAGCAAUUCUAGGAAUUAGUGGGGAUAACUGGCCGACAGUUAGCGAAAUGCUAUUGUAACAAGUCACUGCAAGCCGCACAUGUGUAUCACCGUUUCAUUGGACCUUUGAUGAAGUCAACUACUAAUAGUGCUCGAACAAAUAGCAGAUCUAUAAUACAAGAUUAAUAAGAAUCUAAUCUUUGGUACUAAGAAAAUUAUAAAAAAAAAAGAAAGGUUAUCACUGCAAAAAAAUUGCGAUUGCAGAGAAAGAAUCUAAUCUUUGGUACUAAGAAAAUUAUAAAAAAAAAAGAAAGGUUAUCACUGCAAAAAAAUUGCGAUUGCAGUAGGUAAUUGCAAUAAUUAUAGAGAUAAGUAUUUCAGAUAAAUAUAAUUAAAUAUAUAUUUAAGCAAAAAUUUUUGUUCCUAAAAAUAAAAUAAAAAUAAAAUAAAAUUUGUUGUGCAAUCUUUUAUUAUAUUUUUAAUACAUUUCUAAAAUUGCAAAAUAUGGAUAAAAAUUUUUGCUUUCAUGAAUUGUUUAAAAAAUUCUCAUGUCACUUCUUAUCCAUUUAUACUAUUCCGAUACAAAUUCAAAAAAUUGGAAAAAUACAGCAAAUAUAGAAUACAAUACAGAAAAAAAUAUUGGAGAGAUGGAAGUAAAAUGGAGAAAAUAAUAAAAUUAAAAAUUAUUUUACAAUAUAAUGGAUAAUCUGCAAUCGAGGAUCAUGUAAGAAGAGAAAAAAUACGAAACAGAAGAAAUAUCAGUGAUUGUGUAAGUGUAGUGAUUGUAUAUGUAUAUCAUAGAUAUUUUAACCAUAGACGAGGUAUAGAACAUACAUGGAACUCCUAUGGAAAGAAGGACCUCCUAUCAAUCCUGUUACAUCAUAUCUUUCAUGUAUUUUUUACAAUUUAUAUAUUAUAUUUGAUUAUUUCUUAAAUUAUUAAAGUAUUAACUUUUUAAUUUAUAUGAGCACAAAAAUAACAGUAAAAAGAAAUUUCAAGAAUGGACGUUAUGAACUGGCUUCCAUGAACUGGCAAAAUUUGUGAAAAAAUUUCUAGAGCGAACUCCUAUUAAUUUAUAUUCUCCUAAUACAAAGUCGAAAAAUUGGCAAAAUUUUUCGUUCAAUCAAAAGUUUCGAUUCAUUUUAACUCAUAACCAAGAAAAGAAAAUAUAAAUAUAAAUGUACAUAAUCAAAAAUGUAAAUGUAAAAAUAAAAACGUAAAUAAACACAUUAUUUUUUGCAAAUAAACCGAA
Molecule: long non-coding RNA, 1681 nt
Organism: Apis cerana (Asiatic honeybee)
Lineage: Eukaryota; Metazoa; Arthropoda; Insecta; Hymenoptera; Apidae
Source: RefSeq, a predicted model, not a curated record